Non-coding RNA from Oryctolagus cuniculus (rabbit), 1304 nucleotides. NCBI's taxonomy places the organism in Eukaryota, Metazoa, Chordata, Mammalia, Lagomorpha, Leporidae. The record is from RefSeq and is a predicted model, not a curated record.
GGUGCUGCGGGAGAGAGAAGCCAGAGGGGGCCGCAGCUGCGGGCCGGCCGGCUGCGUGCGUGUGCGUGUGCGUUUGCUGGGUGCAGAGCCCCGAGCGCCAUGAACGAGGGCGGGCUCUGGACAAGAGCAAGCAAGGGCUGGAACCUGGGCGCGUGGCUCUGGGCCCCCGGCCUGUCCUCCCUGCACAGCUGAGGGCUUGGGAGGAGCGGGGCCGCCCCCUGUCGCCCGGGCGCCGUCACUGCUCUCACGGGGGCCCCGAGUGCAUUCCCAAGGCUGAGUGGCAGCCGGCUCGCGCUGCCUCCAGGAGGGUCUCAUCGCCCUAAGAACGCCCCAACCCGCUCGCAGCCGCUCCCCCAACUCCUCCUCCACCCCCCGCCCUGCCCUGCCUGGACAUCUCUGCCUGGCUCCGUUCCUUUUCUUUUUAAAUGUUCUUUAUUUUUAUUUCAAAGGAGACAGAGAGAGACAUCAGCAACAGCCAGGGCUGGGCCAGCGCUGAAGCCAGGAGCCAGAACCCGAUCCGCGUCCCCCCACCUCCUGGGGGGACCCAAGCAGAGACCGAGGGCAUCCCAGAUCCCUGCCCGGAACUCCCAGGGGCAAACAGCCUGCGCAGAGUUCCCUACUAAUGCGUCUACCUGGGAAAGGGCAGCAGCAGAUGGCCCGAGGACCUGGCUUACUACCACGCACCUGGGAGACCCUGAAGGAGUUCCUGACUCCGGCUUCCACCUGGCCCAAACCUGGCUGUUAUGGCCAGCUGGGCAGUGACCUGUGUGUGUCCCCCACUGCUGCCAGUGGUGGCCGCAUCCCCCGGGGCUCCGGCCACCCUCAGCGUCCCGAUGCCUCCACCACCUCCCUAUGCCCAAGCCACCGUCAUCUCCCACCCAGGGUGUGGCAACAGCCUCCCCCUUCCUGUCCGCCACAUAAACUAAGUCCCCCCAUUCUGCCCUGCACCCCCCAGCUUGCUCAGUCGGAGGCCGUCCUACCGCGUCCCACACGACGGAGCCACCUGGCGGCUCCUGUGACUGCACCAGGACCCCAGGCGCUCACCCCUAGCCCCCGUGUCCUGCAGGGCUGCUCCCCCUCCCCUGUCCGGAUGAUCUCCUGGUUUCCCCCUCCCCUCUGUCAGGUGUUCCUAGACCCCCUGUGCAAGGCAGGAUGUCUCUGUCCCCCACCGCCCCUGCCUCCACGGUCGCAGCCACACCCCUGCUGCCCGGUGCUACCCUCUGGCCCAUGGCAUACAGCAGAGGGGCCGGAGGGGCCCAGCCCCUCCGCCUCGCCCAGACGACGGAGCGUGCAGUACCUGGCUG